Long non-coding RNA from Raphanus sativus (radish), 447 nucleotides. RefSeq lists it as uncharacterized. The transcript has 2 exons. The record is from RefSeq and is a predicted model, not a curated record. Lineage: Eukaryota; Viridiplantae; Streptophyta; Magnoliopsida; Brassicales; Brassicaceae.
ACUUUAGAGGAUCCUAGAUUUGAUUUUGUGAAGGCGACUUGCCUGCCAGAAAAAGAUAAGCCUAAACAAACUAGUACAUCAUCUAAAGUCGACCACUCUGUUAAAUUCAGUCCGAUAAAUGGCGACCAAAGUUGCGUUUCAUUUGAAAACCUUCCCAAAGCUUGGCUAAUAUACAUGUUAAUUGGUAUGGGCAUGGGUAUGUUAUGUUCUCUCCUCCACAUUGUAGUACAACCAUAAAACGUUUUCGGCUCGGCUCAGCUCAGCUCAGCUCACAGAUGGAGGAAGCCUCUCUGGUCCUGGUUUGAAAUGUUUACUUGUUUCCAGGGUCUGUACUAAUUUUCUUGUCAAUUUCUUAUGAAACUGUGCUUGACGGAAGCAUGAAUAGUUUAAAACAGUGAUUCGAUUAUUGUAUUAUUAUUAUUUUGAGGAUUUUGAAUUUUGGCAACA